AAAUGGCUGCUGGGUAGGCUAUCAAUGGUGUGUCCCAUUUACCCUGUUGGGAGAGUGCACAGAACACAUUAUCCUCAGAAGACAUCUGAUGAGUGUAGAGCCAAAGCAAGGUGAAGGCCUGCAGUGAUGUUUCUCCAAAUGUGAUGGCCUGAAUACCAGCAUGAGAAGGACCUGGAGUGCUUGCUGAAAUUCAGAUUCCGAGGCAUCACCCAGACCAACAGAAUCAAUCAUCCUGGCAGGGCCCAGAAAUCUGCAUUGUAACAAGUUCUCCAGAACCCAGCCAAAGCUGUUGUGAAGAAGCCAGAGAGUCAUCCAGGAAAACCAUACAUCAGUGUCAUUGUCACUGCAGGCACACAGCUCAGCUCAACUGAGGUACCCACUGAUGUCAGCAUUAACCACCAGACUAGGGAGUGAAUGAAACUUCAGAUGGUUCCAGCCCCCAACUUUCAAGCACACCCAGUGAUGCUGAGUGCAGCUGAUACAAGCUGUCCCCAACAAGCCCUGCCCAAGUUACAGAUUUGUGAGCAAAAUAAGUGUUGUCGUUGUUUUAAGUUUUGGAGCUGUUUGUUACACAGCAAUAGAUGACUGGCACAAA
Non-coding RNA from Macaca mulatta (Rhesus monkey), 595 nucleotides. NCBI's taxonomy places the organism in Eukaryota, Metazoa, Chordata, Mammalia, Primates, Cercopithecidae. The record is from RefSeq and is a predicted model, not a curated record.